RNAcentral lists this transfer RNA (67 nucleotides) under Narceus annularis. RNAcentral's name for it is "Narceus annularus tRNA-Gln". Lineage: Eukaryota; Metazoa; Arthropoda; Diplopoda; Spirobolida; Spirobolidae. The record is from RNAcentral.
UAUAUGGUGGUGUAAGGGCACAAGGAGGUUUGGGCUCCUAGGACUCUUUAACCGGGGAGGCGUAUAU